Molecule: long non-coding RNA, 1238 nt
Filed under: Piliocolobus tephrosceles (Ugandan red Colobus)
Lineage: Eukaryota; Metazoa; Chordata; Mammalia; Primates; Cercopithecidae
Description: lncRNA (ENSPTEG00000024941.1)
Source: RNAcentral
AAUAUAGAAAAUAAUAAUAUAAAAAUAAAAUAUAAUAUCCAAUUUUAAAUAAUACAAAACAAUACAAAACAAAACUUUAUAUACACCAUUUGUAUAUGUUGUAUACAUAUGCUUUUUCUCAAUUGAUAUAAAUUUUGUUUGUUUUUUUUUUGGUUUCGUUUUUGUUUUUUCAUAAUGAAUAACAAGAACUAUUCCCAAAUGUCACCAUUUCCUUCUGUUAAGGAUAUAUGUAAUUUAUCUGAAAAAAAAGAAACAUAUAUAUAUAUAUGUACAUAUGUUUACAUAUAUAUUUACAUAUAUAUUUACAUAUAUAUAUAUAUAUAUAUAUAUACAUACACACUAUACACUUCCCUUAUAAAUAUUUGUUUCGCUAUAUUUUUUUUUUUUUUUUGUUUUUUAUACCAUUUCAGACAGUAAUACAAAAACCAAAUUUUAUCUAAUUAAAAGCUCAUCAGAUAAAAACAUAUCAAUCUCUUUAAAUUAUAAUAUAUGGGCCACAACACCAAAAAAUGAAAAUAAAUUUGUCACUGCUUUUAUGGAAAAUGAUUUUGUCGUCUUAAUAUUUUCUGUUAAUGGCAGUUCAAAAUUUUGUGGUUAUGCCAUUAUGCAAUCAAAACCGGGAGAGUCAAAAAAUAAUAAUGUUUAUUUUUAUUAUGAAGAUAAAAUAUUUCGUGGCAGAAAUUUUGAUAUCCAAUGGAUUAGAGUGGUCGACGUAUAUUUUCAAGAGAUUGUACACAUAAAAAAUAGUUUGAACGAAAACAAACCUAUUAAAGUUGGUCGAGAUGGACAGGAAAUUGAACAAAUGGCUGGAAUUAAAUUAUGUGAUUUGUUUGAAGCAAAGUUUGAGAAAGCCAACAGCAACAUAACAACUGUGCCUCCUCCAAUGCAAAAUGUAAAUACCUUAAAUUACGUAAAUCAAAGCAACCCUCAAGAUUUACCGUAUAUGCAUGAUCAAAAAAAUGCAGUAAAAUUAUAUCCUUUAAAUAGCGACUUAAAUAUGAAUUACAAUACUUUUUGUAAUUUAUAUGAAGAGUCACCAUAUAAUUUAUAUAAUAUAUAUAAUCCAGCCAUACAUAUAUUUCCUAUUGAUCUUUCUAACAUGAAUUAUGAUCAAUACAUUGGAUUAUAUGAAACAUCCCAAUCAGUUUGGAAAGAGAAAAUGUCUCAAUUUAAAUCUAAUUAUAAUUACAUAAAGCAGUAAAAAUAAAAAAAAAAAAAUAAUAUUUUUUUUUUUUUUU